This 497-nucleotide ribosomal RNA is filed under the name uncultured bacterium. RNAcentral describes it as "partial 16S ribosomal RNA". It matches the Rfam family "Bacterial small subunit ribosomal RNA", at positions 28 to 507 of the family's 1533-position model. The record is from RNAcentral.
GAUGAACGCUGGCGGCGUGCCUAAUACAUGCAAGUCGAGCGAACAGACGAGGAGCUUGCUCCUCUGACGUUAGCGGCGGACGGGUGAGUAACACGUGGAUAACCUACCUAUAAGUCUGGGAUAACUUCGGGAAACCGGAGCUAAUACCGGAUAAUAUAUUGAACCGCAUGGUUCAAUAGUGAAAGACGGUUUUGCUGUCACUUAUAGAUGGAUCCGCGCCGCAUUAGCUAGUUGGUAAGGUAACGGCUUACCAAGGCAACGAUGCGUAGCCGACCUGAGAGGGUGAUCGGCCACACUGGAACUGAGACACGGUCCAGACUCCUACGGGAGGCAGCAGUAGGGAAUCUUCCGCAAUGGGCGAAAGCUUGACGGAGCAACGCCGCGUGAGUGAUGAAGGUCUUCGGGUCGUAAAACUCUGUUAUUAGGGAAGAACAAAUGUGUAAGUAACUAUGCACGUCUUGACGGUACCUAAUCAGAAAGCCACGGCUAACUACGUG